AUUGAACGCUGGCGGCAGGCCUAACACAUGCAAGUCGAGCGGAUGAAGGGAGCUUCCCCUGGAUUCAGCGGCGGACGGGUGAGUAAAGCCUUGGAAUCUGCCUGGUAGUGGGGGAUAACGUUCGGGAACGGGCGCUAAUUCCGCAUACGUUCUGGGGGAGGAAGGGGGGGGUCUUUGGGACCUACCCCAACAAGUGAAGCCUAGGUCGGAUUAGCAAGUUGGUGGGGUAAAGGCCUACCAAGGCGACGAUCCGUAACUGGUCUGAGAGGAUGAUCAGUCACACUGGAACUGAGACACGGUCCAGACUCCUACGGGAGGCAGCAGUGGGGAAUAUUGGACAAUGGGCGAAAGCCUGAUCCAGCCAUGCCGCGUGUGUGAAGAAGGUCUUCGGAUUGUAAAGCACUUUAAGUUGGGAGGAAGGGCAGUAAGUUAAUACCUUGCUGUUUUGACGUUACCAACAGAAUAAGCACCGGCUAACUUCGUG
RNAcentral lists this ribosomal RNA (484 nucleotides) under uncultured bacterium. RNAcentral describes it as "partial 16S ribosomal RNA". It matches the Rfam family "Bacterial small subunit ribosomal RNA", at positions 30 to 507 of the family's 1533-position model. The record is from RNAcentral.